AUACAGGGCAUUUUAUGCUCUGUAAUUGGAAUGAUGGGAAUGUAAAACCCUUCCAGAGUAACAAUUGGAGGGCAAGUCUGGUGCCAGCAGCCGCGGUAAUUCCAGCUCCAAUAGUGUAUAUUAGAGUUGUUGCAGUUAAAAAGCUCGUAGUUGGAUUUCUGCUGUGGUCAUCCGGUACCGCCCGUACGGGUGCGCACCUGGUUUGGCUGCGGCUUUCUUCCUGUAGCCGUCCGCGCUUAAUUGCGUGUGGUGUGUUGCGGAACUUUUACUUUGAGAAAAAUAGAGUGUUUCAAGCAGGCUUGUCGCCCUGAAUACUUCAGCAUGGAAUAAUAGGAUAGGACCUUGGUUCUAUUUUGUUGGUUUCUAGGACCAAGGUAAUGAUUAAUAGGGACA
Molecule: ribosomal RNA, 393 nt
Filed under: Eimeria faurei
Lineage: Eukaryota; Apicomplexa; Conoidasida; Eucoccidiorida; Eimeriidae
Description: SSU rRNA
Rfam family: Eukaryotic small subunit ribosomal RNA
Source: RNAcentral